Molecule: ribosomal RNA, 253 nt
Filed under: uncultured bacterium
Lineage: Bacteria
Description: partial 16S ribosomal RNA
Rfam family: Bacterial small subunit ribosomal RNA
Source: RNAcentral
UACGUAGGGUGCAAGCGUUGUUCGGAAUUACUGGGCGUAAAGCGCGCGCAGGCGGUUUCUCAAGUCAGUGGUGAAAGCCCGGAGCUCAACUCCGGAACUGCCAUUGAAACUGUGAAACUUGAGGACGAGAGAGGUGAGUGGAAUUCCCAGUGUAGAGGUGAAAUUCGUAGAUAUUGGGAGGAACACCGAUGGCGAAGGCGGCUCACUGGCUCGUUUCUGACGCUCAGGCGCGACAGCGUGGGGAUCAAACAGG